UACGAAGGGGGCUAGCGUUGUUCGGAAUUACUGAGCGUAAGGCGCACGUGGGCGGAUAUUUAAGUUAGGGGUGAAAUCCCAGGGCUCAACCCUGGAACUGCCUCUAAUACUGGGUAUCUCGAGUCCGAGAGAGGUGAGUGGAAUUCCGAGUGUAGAGGUGAAAUUCGUAGAUAUUCGGAGGAACACCAGUGGCGAAGGCGGCUCACUGGCUCGGUACUGACGCUGAGGUGCGAAAGCGUGGGGAGCAAACAGG
RNAcentral lists this ribosomal RNA (253 nucleotides) under uncultured bacterium. RNAcentral describes it as "partial 16S ribosomal RNA". It matches the Rfam family "Bacterial small subunit ribosomal RNA", at positions 524 to 776 of the family's 1533-position model. The record is from RNAcentral.